Molecule: ribosomal RNA, 120 nt
Filed under: uncultured bacterium
Lineage: Bacteria
Description: partial 16S ribosomal RNA
Rfam family: Bacterial small subunit ribosomal RNA
Source: RNAcentral
GCGCUUGAGGAUGAGCCUACGUCGGAUUAGCUAGUUGGUGGGGUAAAGGCCUACCAAGGCGACGAUCCGUAGCUGGUCUGAGAGGAUGACCAGCCACACUGGGACUGAGACACGGCCCAG